GCUUUGGUGUGUUAGUGGUAAUCUGUGUUGUUGUCGGAAAAAAAAAAAAACCGGGGAGCGACAUUGCAUUAAAAAUGAUGCAGACGUCCACGUCGUCGACCAAGUUCGACCCGCUGGGGGUUCGAUUCCCUCCCAAAGCA
Molecule: non-coding RNA, 140 nt
Organism: Mycena maculata
Lineage: Eukaryota; Fungi; Basidiomycota; Agaricomycetes; Agaricales; Mycenaceae
Source: the annotation of a GenBank genome assembly